AAUCAAUUCGUAAACUGUAUUAGGAUAGUGCUUAAGCCGUUAAUCGGUAGUACGCCCGUUACAAUCUUGGAGCUCUAUCUUUAUUCUGCUCUGUUCUCUUUCUUUUAUACUGACACCAGACACAAGCUUGAGGUCCUGGCAGAGAAAUUUAAUGGUGAUUUAGAUCUGGAUUUGAUUGAGUAGUAGGUAGAGGAUUUGAGAAUUCCAGGAGUUGAAGAUAGAGCUGCUGACAGAAUUCAACAUGGGAUAUAGUAGUGCCAGUAGUGCCGGUAGUGCCAGCAGUGCCAGCAGUGUCAGUAGUGCCAGCAGUAGCCAGUUGAUAAAGAAUAUAAGCAUUGACAAUAGCAUGAUCAAUAAUCCAAUAUAGAAUUGACAACCACAUGCGAUUGGUAGGACAGGUGGUUCCACAAGCUCCAAUUCUUUGCUUUUGAAGAUAGUGGAAUAGAGCAAUAGAGGUGAAGUAGUUGUCCAUAUUGAUUGAGUGGCCAGCUACCUCUUUACUGUUAUUCAACUCCAUAUGCUGCUCGGAGCUCUGCUGCUGCUUGGAGCGCUGCGGCUGAUCAGGGUGCUGUUGCUUAGAGAACUGGAAAUACCUUUGAAUACCAUGAUUCUGCAGGAUGUGGGUGAGUAGAAAGGUGGAUUCUUGCAGCUGAAAGAUGAAGUACAGCAAUAUGUUGAGAAGAAAAUAUGAGAUAGUGGAUCUGUACCAGCAAAUAGAAUUGCAUAUAUUUUAGUAUGAGAAAUUAUUGACGAGGAGAUACCGAAUCCAUCUAUAUACCUACUGC
RNAcentral lists this small RNA (785 nucleotides) under Histoplasma capsulatum var. duboisii H88. Its description in RNAcentral is "Histoplasma capsulatum H88 hypothetical RNA". The record is from RNAcentral. Lineage: Eukaryota; Fungi; Ascomycota; Eurotiomycetes; Onygenales; Ajellomycetaceae.